This 253-nucleotide ribosomal RNA is filed under the name uncultured bacterium. RNAcentral describes it as "partial 16S ribosomal RNA". It matches the Rfam family "Bacterial small subunit ribosomal RNA", at positions 524 to 776 of the family's 1533-position model. The record is from RNAcentral.
UACAGAGGUCUCAAGCGUUGUUCGGAUUCAUUGGGCGUAAAGGGUGUGUAGGUGGCGCGGUAAGUCGGGUGUGAAAUUUCGGAGCUUAACUCCGAAACUGCAUUCGAUACUGCCGUGCUUGAGGACUGGAGAGGAGACUGGAAUUUACGGUGUAGCAGUGAAAUGCGUAGAGAUCAUGAGGAAGACCAGUGGCGAAGGCGGGUCUCUGGACAGUUCCUGACACUGAGACACGAAGGCCAGGGGAGCAAACGGG